UGCCCAGCAAUUCCUAUCCCUACCUCCUCGUGAUACUGGCCGGGGUACGAGUAACCUUGGGGAAGAUCGGGUAACUAACCUCCGGUGGGAACAUUGGUCGUAUGCUGACAGGGAAGG
This 117-nucleotide ribozyme is filed under the name Aedes aegypti (yellow fever mosquito). Its description in RNAcentral is "drz-agam-1 ribozyme". It matches the Rfam family "drz-agam-1 ribozyme". The record is from Rfam by way of RNAcentral. Lineage: Eukaryota; Metazoa; Arthropoda; Insecta; Diptera; Culicidae.